CCUACGGGAGGCAGCAGUAGGGAAUAUUGGCAAUGGGCGAAAGCCUGACCCAGCGACGCCGCGUGCGGGAUGAAGGCCUUCGGGUUGUAAACCGCUUUCAGCAGGGAAGAAGCGAAAGUGACGGUACCUGCAGAAGAAGCACCGGCUAACUAUGUGCCAGCAGCCGCGGUAAUACAUAGGGUGCAAGCGUUGUCCGGAAUUAUUGGGCGUAUAGAGCUCGUAGGUGGUUCGUUACGUCGGAUGUGAAAACCUGAGGCUCAACCUCAGGCCUGCAUUCGAUACGGGCGAACUGGAGUGUGGUAGGGGAGACUGGAAUUCCUGGUGUAGCGGUGGAAUGCGCAGAUAUCAGGAGGAACACCAAUGGCGAAGGCAGGUCUCUGGGCCACUACUGACACUGAGGAGCGAAAGCGUGGGGAGCAAACAGGAUUAGAUACCCUGGUAGUCCACGCUGUAAACGGUGGGCACUAGUUGUGGGAACCUUCCACGGUUUCUGCGACGUAGCAAACGCAUUAAGUGCCCCGCCUGGGGAGUACGAUCGCAAGAUUAAAACUCAAAGGAAUUGACGG
Molecule: ribosomal RNA, 566 nt
Filed under: uncultured bacterium
Lineage: Bacteria
Description: bacterial SSU rRNA
Rfam family: Bacterial small subunit ribosomal RNA
Source: RNAcentral